Clupea harengus (Atlantic herring) is the source of this 1567-nucleotide long non-coding RNA. Lineage: Eukaryota; Metazoa; Chordata; Actinopteri; Clupeiformes; Clupeidae. The record is from Ensembl.
CUAUUGAUGACUAGAGCUGUUGGUCUCUAUUGAUGACUAGACCUGUUGGUCUCUAUUGAUGACUAGAGCUGUUGGUCUCUAUUGAUGACUAGACCUGCUAUGGCUGAAGGAUUCUGGUACACGUGUGUGAAGAGAUUUCUCCCACAGCAGAUGACUGGAAUGGAUCUUGAGCAGAUUGAGCCCAUUUUCAAUGACAUUUCAAAACUUGACUUUUUAAGGACGUUUAAUGAAAUCUCCAUGAUCUUUCACAAAUUCCAAGUACACAAAUCGGUGUUUUACAGCACACAUAUUGGGCCUAAUUACUGAAUACAAAUCAAACAACCUUUUGUCCUUGUUCUUUGCCUUUUCUAUGAGGCUCUGUCAACUAAAGUGGAAACACGCUGCGGAUAUUCACACAACACGUGGAAGAGGACAACAACAUAAUUAAUUAGUCAUUAGACUUGCAUACAACCAAACAAAAUUGUUUUUCCAAAACUUGGAAUUUUUCUGAAUUUCUUGACAUUUCCCAUUCUGGAAAAUGGGAUUUAAAAAUUCCAUGGCUUUUCUAGGUUUUCCAUGAAUCUGAGAAUCCUGUAGACUGAAUCUGGCCCAUAUAUGAUAUGACCUCAAAGUGGCGGAUCUCUGAGCUUAACGGCACUGACGCAUGCCAGCGAAGCAAAACCCUCGCUUCGCUUUAAGUGGGCGUGUUGUGGCGUGUGGAAAUGGUGUAACAGACCGACCGAACUAGCAAACUAGUUAGCAAGCUAGCCAGCUAAUAGGCUAGCUAUCCAGUCACUUGUCUUUAUAUCAGAACUGUCAUUCUGUUAAAGUAAGACCAGGAUUAAAUAUAUAACAUACCAGGAACAACCACAACCCCUUACAAGGUCUUCAAAGCUGUUCUUUUGAGCAAAUAAAACGACCAAACGACGCCAUAGUCCUGCAAUUUUCAAACCUUUAAAGACGACAACAAACUAUCUGAUUGGCCGGUGGUGGCGAAAUUUGCUCCUUAUUUGCAUAGGUUUAAACUUUCCCUAAAUAUUUUGCUCGCUUUACCCAAUUAAUUUAUCUGCCUGAUGAUCACCUGCCUCCAACAGAAAUGAAUGGAACACAGAACUUCACUUGGCUGGCGUUCAUCAGUACUGUAAGAGGUUCUCAGGUUAUAGAGCUGGCUGAGGGUGGGGCAGAGCUGCCAGAGAUGAAUUGGUUAUGGAAAGAGCUUAAGAUGGCUACAGUCAGGACACAUCCAGCUGUUCACUGAUUAUGUUACAGUUCACAUGUGCACGCGCACAUAUGAACACGCACUCAUAGAGAGUGCGAGAGAGAGAGGGAGAGAGAGAGAGAGAGAGAGAGAGAGGGAGAGAGAGAGAGAGAGAGAGAGAGAGAGAGAGAGAGAAAGAGAGAGUAAUGCAUCCACCCUUAGUCUUAUAGUCUCAUUACUGUAGCACACUUACAUUUUCCCUUAAGGCUCUUACAUCCCCUCACACACACACAAACACACACACACACACACACACACACACACACACACACACACACACACACACACACACACACACACACGGAUCUGAGGAAGAUCAGCUGAAAGGGG